Molecule: long non-coding RNA, 325 nt
Organism: Trematomus bernacchii (emerald rockcod)
Lineage: Eukaryota; Metazoa; Chordata; Actinopteri; Perciformes; Nototheniidae
Exons: 3
Source: RefSeq, a predicted model, not a curated record
GGUCGAACGAGCUGUACUCUUUCCAUGAGGGAUUAGAAUCUAACAAAGGAAAAGUUCUGAACAAGUCAAACGUCAAAGGGAAGAUUUUCCAGAGGUUAACAGAAAAGUAGCAAUAACAAACGGUCAUCCAGAAAGGAUUGGAGGUGGGUUUGGUUGGAGACAGCAGGGAUGUGCAGUGCGGCUGGUGCAGAUAGAGCGGAGCUGGAGUGCAGCGUCCUGGAAGAGGACUGGCAGAGAGGACAGAGAUACAUGGCUCACUGGCACAGCUUCACCAUCGUGCCACAGCAUCAGCAGAGGCCAAUCGUGAUGGAGGCAGAACGCUCAG